Molecule: non-coding RNA, 73 nt
Organism: Zootermopsis nevadensis
Lineage: Eukaryota; Metazoa; Arthropoda; Insecta; Blattodea; Termopsidae
Source: Rfam
GCCACGGUGGUCUAGCGGUUAGAACGCUGGCCUUGUAAUCCUGGGGUCUCGGGUUCGAUUCCCGGCCGUGCCC